RNAcentral lists this ribosomal RNA (443 nucleotides) under uncultured bacterium. RNAcentral describes it as "partial 16S ribosomal RNA". It matches the Rfam family "Bacterial small subunit ribosomal RNA", at positions 338 to 795 of the family's 1533-position model. The record is from RNAcentral.
CCUACGGGAGGCAGCAGUGGGGAAUAUUGGACAAUGGGGGAAACCCUGACCCAGCGACGCCGCGUGAGUGAAGAAGUAUUUCGGUACGUAAAGCUCUAUCAGCAGGGAAGAAAGAAAUGACGGUACCUGACUAAGAAGUCCCGGCUAACUGCGUGCGAGCAACCGCGUUAAUCCGUAGGGGGCAAGCGUUAUCCGGAUUUACUGGGUGCAAAGGGAGCGUAGACGGCGAUGCAAGUCUGAGGUGAAAGUCUGGGGCCCAACCCCCGAACUGCUUUUGAAACUGUAUGGCUGGAGUGCAGGAGAGGUAAGUGGAAUUCCUAGUGUAGCAGUGAAAUGCGUAGAUAUCAGGAGGAACACCAGUGGCGAAGGCGGCUUACUGGACUGUAACUGACGUUGAGGCUCGAAAGCGUGGGGAGCAAACAGGAUUAGAUACCCUUGUAGUC